This is a non-coding RNA of Rhodocollybia butyracea, 100 nucleotides long. The record is from the annotation of a GenBank genome assembly. Lineage: Eukaryota; Fungi; Basidiomycota; Agaricomycetes; Agaricales; Omphalotaceae.
GUCACUUUGCCGGAGUGGUCUAACGGGAUCGCCUGCUACUAUUAGGUCAGCAUUCAGCGGUUGGGCUUUGCCCGCGUGUGUUCGAAUCGCACAGGUGACG